RNAcentral lists this transfer RNA (74 nucleotides) under Candidatus Berkiella aquae. Its description in RNAcentral is "Legionella-like amoebal pathogen HT99 tRNA". It matches the Rfam family "tRNA". From Rfam's summary of the family: Transfer RNA (tRNA) molecules are approximately 80 nucleotides in length. Their secondary structure includes four short double-helical elements and three loops (D, anti-codon, and T loops). Lineage: Bacteria; Pseudomonadati; Pseudomonadota; Gammaproteobacteria; Candidatus Berkiellales; Candidatus Berkiellaceae. The record is from Rfam by way of RNAcentral.
GCGCCCGUAGCUCAGUUGGAUAGAGUACCUGGCUACGAACCAGGUGGUCGGAAGUUCGAAUCUUUCCGGGCGCG